This 87-nucleotide transfer RNA is filed under the name Iodidimonas gelatinilytica. It matches the Rfam family "tRNA". From Rfam's summary of the family: Transfer RNA (tRNA) molecules are approximately 80 nucleotides in length. Their secondary structure includes four short double-helical elements and three loops (D, anti-codon, and T loops). RNAcentral also lists the same sequence under 1 other name. The record is from Rfam by way of RNAcentral. Lineage: Bacteria; Pseudomonadati; Pseudomonadota; Alphaproteobacteria; Iodidimonadales; Iodidimonadaceae.
GGAGCGGUGGCCGAGCGGUUUAAGGCGCACGCCUGGAAAGCGUGUUGGGGUGUAAGCCCCUCGAGGGUUCGAAUCCCUCCCGCUCCG